Molecule: transfer RNA, 76 nt
Filed under: Saccharothrix algeriensis
Lineage: Bacteria; Bacillati; Actinomycetota; Actinomycetes; Pseudonocardiales; Pseudonocardiaceae
Also listed under: 1 other name
Description: tRNA-Ser
Source: RNAcentral
CUAGGUCGAGCGCCAGCUUGCGGCCGCCGCUGGAGACGCCGGUGAGCGCGACCGUGCCGUUCGGCCCGACCUGGUC